RNAcentral lists this unclassified non-coding RNA (334 nucleotides) under soil metagenome. RNAcentral's name for it is "partial contains 5.8S ribosomal RNA, internal transcribed spacer 2, and large subunit ribosomal RNA". The stretch from base 1 to 120 matches the Rfam family "5.8S ribosomal RNA", at positions 35 to 154 of the family's 154-position model. The record is from RNAcentral.
GAUGAAGAACGCAGCGAAAUGCGAUACGUAAUGUGAAUUGCAGAAUUCAGUGAAUCAUCGAAUCUUUGAACGCACAUUGCGCCCGCCAGCACUCUGGCGGGCAUGCCUGUUCGAGCGUCAUUUCAACCAUCAAGCCCCAGGCUUGCGUUGGAGCCCUGCGGCUGCCGCAGCCUCCUAAAAGCAGUGGCGGGCUCGCUAUCACACCGAGUGCAGUAGAUUACUCUUCGCUCAGGGCGUGCAGCGGGUUCCGGCCGUGAAACCCCCUACUUUUAAAGGUUGACCUCGGAUCAGGUAGGAACACCCGCUGAACUUAAGCAUAUCAAUAAGCGGAGGA